RNAcentral lists this ribosomal RNA (75 nucleotides) under uncultured Nitrosomonadales bacterium. RNAcentral's name for it is "partial 16S ribosomal RNA". Lineage: Bacteria; Pseudomonadati; Pseudomonadota; Betaproteobacteria; Nitrosomonadales. The record is from RNAcentral.
AUACAUCGGAACGUGUCCUGUUGUGGGGGAUAACCCAGCGGCAAGGUGAGCUAAUACCGCAUGAUCUAGGGAGCC